Molecule: ribosomal RNA, 249 nt
Filed under: uncultured bacterium
Lineage: Bacteria
Description: partial 16S ribosomal RNA
Rfam family: Bacterial small subunit ribosomal RNA
Source: RNAcentral
AUACGGAGGGUGCGAGCGUUGUUCGGGAAUUAUUGGGCGUAAAGCGCGUGUAGGCGGUUUGUUAAGUCUGAUGUGAAAGCCCCGGGCUCGAACCUGGGAAGUGCAUUGGAUACUGGCAGACUUGAAUACGGGAGAGGGCAGUGGAAUUCCUGGUGUAGGAGUGAAAUCCGUAGAUAUCAGGAGGAACACCGGUGGCGAAGGCGGCUGCCUGGACCGAUAUUGACGCUGAGACGCGAAAGCGUGGGUAGC